CAAUAGUGGCGCACGGGUGCGUAACGCGUAACCAACCUACCCUUGACUGGGGGAUAGCCCGCCGAAAGGCGGAUUAAUACCGCAUAAAACCACAGUUUGGCAUCAGACAAUGGUUAAAGAUUUAUUGGUCAAGGAUGGGGUUGCGUGCCAUUAGCUAGUUGGAGGGGUAACGGCCCACCAAGGCGACGAUGGCUAGGGGAGCUGAGAGGCUGGUCCCCCACACGGGCACUGAGAUACGGGCCCG
Molecule: ribosomal RNA, 244 nt
Filed under: uncultured bacterium
Lineage: Bacteria
Description: partial 16S ribosomal RNA
Rfam family: Bacterial small subunit ribosomal RNA
Source: RNAcentral